Molecule: ribosomal RNA, 496 nt
Filed under: uncultured bacterium
Lineage: Bacteria
Description: partial 16S ribosomal RNA
Rfam family: Bacterial small subunit ribosomal RNA
Source: RNAcentral
GACGAACGCUGGCGGCGUGCCUAAUACAUGCAAGUUGAGCGCUGAAGGUUGGUACUUGUACCAACUGGAUGAGCAGCGAACGGGUGAGUAACGCGUGGGGAAUCUGCCUUUGAGCGGGGGACAACAUUUGGAAACGAAUGCUAAUACCGCAUAAAAACUUUAAACACAAGUUUUAAGUUUGAAAGAUGCAAUUGCAUCACUCAAAGAUGAUCCCGCGUUGUAUUAGCUAGUUGGUGAGGUAAAGGCUCACCAAGGCGAUGAUACAUAGCCGACCUGAGAGGGUGAUCGGCCACAUUGGGACGGAGACACGGCCCAAACUCCUACGGGAGGCAGCAGUAGGGAAUCUUCGGCAAUGGACGAAAGUCUGACCGAGCAACGCCGCGUGAGUGAAGAAGGUUUUCGGAUCGUAAAACUCUGUUGGUAGAGAAGAACGUUGGUGAGAGUGGAAAGCUCAUCAAGUGACGGUAACUACCCAGAAAGGGACGGCUAACUACGU